UACGUAGGGGGCAAGCGUUGUCCGGAAUCAUUGGGCGUAAAGAGCGUGUAGGCGGUCCGGUAAGUCAGCUGUGAAAGUCAAGGGCUCAACCCUUGAAAGCCGGUUGAUACUGUCGGGCUAGAGUCCGGAAGAGGCGAGUGGAAUUCCCGGUGUAGCGGUGAAAUGCGCAGAUAUCGGGAGGAACACCAAUGGCGAAGGCAGCUCGCUGGGACGGUACUGACGCUGAGACGCGAAAGCGUGGGGAGCAAACAGG
This 253-nucleotide ribosomal RNA is filed under the name uncultured bacterium. RNAcentral describes it as "partial 16S ribosomal RNA". It matches the Rfam family "Bacterial small subunit ribosomal RNA", at positions 524 to 776 of the family's 1533-position model. The record is from RNAcentral.